AAGUAUCUCUUGUUGAGUUAAAAUAAUUUCGUGUAAUAUUUUUCACACUUAUGAAGACGGUCAGUGAUUGGUCAGUGUGUGUAAUAAUAGAACCUGCUAUUGGCGGUAUUUUUGCACGAGAUACAGAACAACAAAGACGUGUCUGAUGUUGUGUCUAAAUGUAGGUGAUCAGUGUAUUACGUUGACCUUGACCUGUCGUGGUGGCCAUUUUUUUGGGCCGGAUAUUGCGUGCCUUGUUUAGGUUUGUGAACUUUGCGUAUUUGCAAUUGCUAUUUGUUCAUGUUGCUAAUUAUGCAUGUUUAUAAUACAUGUACUACAUAUGAAUCCUUGCAAAGGAAAUAUGUUUGUAUAUAUGAUUGAGGUCAAGCAAAUCUUGUACAUUGGUUAAGUCACUAGAACAAAUUAUAAUGUGUUUUUAUUUAUCUAUAUUUAUAGGAGCACUGUCAUUGAUUCAUUCAUUGAUUCAUCAUUGAUUGAUCACAUUACACUACAACUGUGAAUAAAAGG
This is a long non-coding RNA of Ostrea edulis (European flat oyster), 507 nucleotides long. RefSeq lists it as uncharacterized. The record is from RefSeq and is a predicted model, not a curated record. The transcript is spliced from 2 exons. Lineage: Eukaryota; Metazoa; Mollusca; Bivalvia; Ostreida; Ostreidae.